UGGCUCUGCCGGGGCUGCUCCUGAACAGACUGGCUCAGGAAAAGUCUUUAAUUGGGUUGCUGCAGUUCUGUGCCAUCCAUGUGGCCCUUCCAGGUGUCUCAGAGCUGACCCAAGAAUGCUGAGCCUUGUUCUGCCACAGAUUCCAGCUGGGGGCAGAAAUCCUUCUGAGAUUCUUCUCCAGCAAAUCACUUCUGGGAGAGGGGAGAGGCAAAAAGAGGAGCUGGCAGAGCCAAGGAGGGGCUGCAGGGCUGUGCUGGAGCUGCCAGCUCCUUGAGGGGUGCCAGCCUGGCCUGGAGCAGCAGGGAGGGGGAGAAAUGCCAAGGGAAGAUAAUGAACAGCAGCCCGAGCUCCUGAACUGCCUCCUGCCCUGCCUGAGGUGCCUGGGCAGAUCCUGCCCUGGCUGCUGCUCAGUCACUGCCCUGGGGCACUGAUGGCAGCUUUGAUCUCAUUCCUGGCUGGACCACAGAUUUCAUGUCUUGGUGAAGAGGAGGCCCUGAAGAAGAGAGCUCUGAAUCAUAAGAAAUUGGAAACUUGGGGAAAUAAAGCAGCUCAGGUUUCCUGAGUGUGGAUGCUCUGAGGUGUUGAGAGCAUUUCUGAGAUGGAUUCUCUGCUUGGAGAGGAGCUCAGCUGAUUCUUUCAUUCCUUCCAUGUCACUUUUCCCUCUGCCAUCGUCCCCCGAGCUCAGCUGUAACACUUUGUCCAUCCAUUACAGCUCAUUAAAAAUUCAGGAUGAAUCCUGCUUUUCAUUGUGCAGCUUCAAAAUUCACCCCACACCUGAGAAAAGUGAUCACAGAAUGUCAUUUCCUCAGUUUUCAGUGUUUGCAAACCAAAAGAACAGCAGCCACAGAAAAUUUGUGGCACAUUAACCCCAAACUGUUGGAAAUUGAGGAGGUGCUCCUAGGAUGACUCUCUCCUGUGAACAGGCAGCACCCCUCACCCUUUCAUUAAUAAAUAAAUAAUAAAUUUCCAGCAAUCUCAGGAGCUGGCACUCUUUUGUCCUGUCUAACUGCUGAAGCAAGAUUUUAAACUUCUUUAUGGAAUUAUUUUAUCUAACUGCAUGAAAAUAUUCCAAUAGAGGAAAAACCCAGCAUGGUGUCUUUCUUCUGUGGGAGCUUUUAGCCCCAGGUCUUCAUCUUGUUGCUUUGUGAACACAAUCCCUGAGGGGAAAAAAAAAAAAACUCAGGAAAAAUAAUUUUAAAAAAACCCCAAUUAUUGAUGCUUCCUGCUUAACUCAGGACAG
Molecule: long non-coding RNA, 1240 nt
Organism: Motacilla alba alba
Lineage: Eukaryota; Metazoa; Chordata; Aves; Passeriformes; Motacillidae
Exons: 3
Source: RefSeq, a predicted model, not a curated record